CGAUUGAUGAUGAGUCCCACUGCAGGACGAAACGGCCGUCCAGUGC
This is a non-coding RNA of Schistosoma haematobium, 46 nucleotides long. NCBI's taxonomy places the organism in Eukaryota, Metazoa, Platyhelminthes, Trematoda, Strigeidida, Schistosomatidae. The record is from Rfam.